Molecule: long non-coding RNA, 2011 nt
Filed under: Sus scrofa (pig)
Lineage: Eukaryota; Metazoa; Chordata; Mammalia; Artiodactyla; Suidae
Description: lncRNA (ENSSSCG00060065879.1)
Source: RNAcentral
CAGACUUAAGUUCUUAAACCCCAGUCGAAUUGAAUGGGUUUUAGAUGAAAGCAAAUAGUUUGGUGUGGAUUUCCUAAAAUUAAUCCUUUAUAGCCUGCACUAAAUGGUAGCAAUUUGAUAAAGAGGAAUGAGCUUGCCGUUUCUUUCAUUCACACCCACUUGAAUGGCCAAACAAAAUAUCUUAAGAACUAUAUGGCUCGUGUUUUAGACCAUUUGCUCACAUUAAAAGAAGUUGAUAAAAUGAACUGUCAUGAAAAUAAUAGAUGUCCUGUAUUUAAUGACUCUCUUCAAAAUGUGGACAGUUCUUCAAGCCUGGUCAUGGGUAAAUGGGGAUUUGUCGUACUUUUUAACUUGGGUGUAUGUAUAGAAGUUUUCAAAAUAUUUCAGAAUGAUUCCCUGCAAGUCUUUUAAUCACUUCCUCUACCAGUAUUUUAGGGAGGGCCUGCUCUCUGACUGACUGGCACAAAUCUAUGACGUGGAGCUAGAGCAGUGAACACAACAGUCUUUCAUAAAUCCCUUCUUAGUGAAAUGACAACGGAUACACAGAUGAAUGUGGAAUGCAAGAUCCUAAAAUGAGUAUUGAAAAAACAUGAAAUGGAUGGGGGAUAAAAUUAUCCUGGACACUUUUAAAUCAAGGCAACUCUAAUGAGAUGAUCCUGGCAAAGCUACCUGGGGAUAGUUUGGCUAUUUUCAUAUGUUGUAGGAAUCUCACUCCCUAAUAUUUACUCAAGUGAGUUGAACACUUAUGACCACACACAAGUCUGCACACAGAUAUGAAGAGCAGCUUUACUCAUAGCUGCCCAAACUUGGAAACAGCCAGAAUAGUCCCAUAGCAUGUGAAUAGAUUAGCAAAUUAUAAUACAGCUAUACAAUGGGACAUUAUUCAGUGAUAAGGAGAAAUGAGCUACAAAGCAACAAAAAGCCAUGGAGGAACUUUAAAUGCCUAGUAUGAGUGAAAGAAGCCAGUCGAAAAAGGCUUCACAGUCUAUAAUGCUGACACGUCCUGCUGGCAAAGGCAGAACAUUGGAGACGGAAGGGAUUCACGAGGGACUCUUUGCUUCACUGCUCUUUCUCUUCUUCGUAGACUCGUGCCAGUGCAUCAGACAGCACGUGCUCCCAGUUUUACUCACCCUAAGAAGUUUCCAAAUUAUCUAUCAAAUGUACGCAUUUUCAAGGAACAGAAAGAAAAAGGAAUUAAGGAAAAGGGAUCAAAUAGAAAAGUAGAGGAGUCGUUCACAAACCUACCGCACAGGCAUUUCAUUGUGAAAUACGGUGUUGUUUCUCCAUUUAGGCCUGUAUUGUACUUGGACCUAUUUUUUGUGGAGGAUGUUAGGUUUCUGUCUAGAUGCAUUUUCUUCAGUAACUUUUAUCAGCUCCAUAGCACAAGGAGAGCAAGUAUGUAGAAUGGGAAGAAGAGACACAGGGAAACCAUGCUGGAGGGUUUUGAGGUCCGUGAACCAGGAAACGAAGCUUUGAGUAGAGGGCUGUGGUGGGCUUUGUAAGAGGUGGCUGUUUUUCAGCUAUUUUGAAGCUGGAGUCAGUGGAGUUUUAUGGGGAUCCGGGUAAGAAGAACAGUCAAGAAAGUCAAGGUUCUAGGCCUGGCCAGUGUGUAAGCCGUGGGGCUCUUUGUCCAAGUGAAGAACACUGGACAAGCAGCGUUUCCUUGCGGAAGGUCCUGUUCUAGAAAUCGAGGGCAGUUUUGACGUGUCCUGUCUCAGGUUUCUAUUUCAGUAUCCAAUGAAAAAUAUCAAGUAUGAAAGUGGCCUCGGAGAGAGCUCGGGGGAAAACUUAAAUUUGGGAAAUGUCAGUGUAUAGGUGGGGUCUGAGGCCCUGCAACUCGGGUGGGUAGAUCAACAGAAUGACUGCAGAGAUAAAAGAGACCGAGAGGGAGUUGCCCCAGCAUUGAGGAGAAAUAGGAAGGGGGGGUGGGGAAUACCUUUUCCAGAGGAAGCCAGCAACUGUGUCAGAGUCUGCUGAAGAACUGAGAGAAAUAAACACUGAGAACCUACCA